AAAAAGAAAACGGAAAAAGAAAGAAAAUAUCUUGCAACAUUAUUUUACCAAAACAUAUCUUUGCAUAUUGACAAAUCCAAAGUAUAUAUACCUUCCUCUUUUUUUCUGGAAGAGUGAAGAAGUUAUCGUUUCGCUGCGUAUGACCGUCGCUGUGGUGAGAAGCUCGACAAAGUCUGCUCUCUUUUGGUGUUUGGUUUCUGAGGAGCCUAAGUCAAGACAAGAAAAGGAAUUGAAUAUCAAGUACUUAGUGGGGAUUUCAUCGUCAGAGGUAUUAAAUAAAAGGUUUUUGGAGUAAUUAAUCGUCUGCAACGUCCUAAUGGCUACUUCGGAAGCUGUUCGACAAGUACUAUCUGGGCCAUUACCUCGCCUUGGCUGUUUUGAUCUAUCUUUAAGCAAUGUAAAUGGAGUAAUCUCAGUUCAGUCUGGUGUAAAUAAUACACGGAAAAGAAGUUCAGUGUGUGCCCAAGUGCAUAAACAUUCGAGAAUUUCACAGGACCGCUGGAGAAUAUGUGCGUUCCAGGCUAGAAACAGUGUUUUUCAUGGAAAAAAUUAUGUUAGUAGGUCGAAUUCGAUGAGUUGCAAAUGUCAAAGGGCAGAAAGGCUUACUGGGGCAACUGCAGAAGAUCAGCAUAGGGACUUGCUAGUAGACGACUCAGAUAAAGCAACAUCGAUUCCUCCUAAUGGCAUAACUAGUCCAGGUAUUAAUGAAUUUGAGGUGGAUCAACAACUGAAACAUGAAGAGGGAGGUUUUGGAUCAAACGGUAAGCCGGCUACAGCUGGAAAACAUAAAGCUUCUACACAGAAGGUUAGGACCAAUUCGAUUGAGGAUGAAGCAUGGAAAUUACUGAAGAACUCCGUGGUCUAUUAUUGUAAUAAUCCUAUUGGAACCAUUGCUGCUAAUAAUCCAAACUCUACUAGUACUCUGAACUAUGAUCAGGUCUUUAUUCGUGACUUCAUACCUACUGGGAUAGCUUUCCUUUUAAAAGGGGAGUAUGAUAUUGUGCGGAAUUUCAUUCUUCAUACCCUUCAGUUGCAGAGCUGGGAGAAAACCAUGGAUUGUUAUAGUCCUGGUCAAGGACUAAUGCCUGCCAGUUUUAAGGUUCGCACUGUCCCACUCGAUGGUGAUGAUUUUGCAACUGAAGAUGUUUUGGAUCCGGACUUCGGUGAAGCUGCUAUUGGUCGUGUUGCCCCUGUUGACUCUGGGUUAUGGUGGAUUAUAUUGUUACGGGCAUAUGGAAAAUGCUCUGGAGAUCUUUCAGUCCAGGAACGAGUUGAUGUGCAAACAGGGAUAAAAAUGAUUUUGAAGCUGUGUCUUGCUGAUGGUUUUGAUAUGUUUCCAACAUUACUGGUCACAGAUGGUUCAUGCAUGAUUGAUCGCCGCAUGGGAAUUCAUGGCCAUCCUUUGGAGAUUCAGGCACUGUUCUACUCAGCACUUCUUUGUGCACGUGAGAUGCUUGCUCCAGAGGAUGCAUCAGCUGACCUUAUGCGAGCACUAAAUAAUCGUCUGGUUGCAUUAUCAUUCCAUAUCAGGGAAUAUUACUGGAUUGAUAUGAGAAAACUCAAUGAAAUUUACCGAUACCAGACAGAGGAAUACUCAUAUGAUGCUGUUAAUAAGUUCAAUAUCUACCCUGAUCAGAUUCCAUCCUGGCUGGUGGGAUUUAUGCCAAGUACAGGUGGGUACUUAAUUGGCAACCUGCAGCCUGCUCACAUGGACUUUCGUUUCUUUUCUCUUGGAAACUUAUGGUCUAUUGUAAGUAGUCUUGCAACAUUGGAUCAGUCACAUGCUAUAUUGGAUCUUAUUGAAGCAAAAUGGGAUGAAUUAGUGGCAGAUAUGCCGUUUAAAAUAUGUUAUCCUGCUCUUGAAGGCCAGGAAUGGCAAAUCAUCACAGGCAGCGAUCCCAAAAACACUCCCUGGUCUUACCAUAAUGGAGGUUCUUGGCCAACAUUGCUCUGGCAGCUUACUGUGGCAUGCAUAAAGCUUAACAGACCAGAAAUUGCAGCAAAGGCGGUCGAGCUUGCUGAGAAGCGCAUAUCUCUUGACAAUUGGCCUGAAUAUUAUGACACUAAGAGAGCAAGAUUUAUUGGAAAACAGGCACAGCUGUUUCAAACUUGGUCAGCUGCCGGAUACCUUGUAGCAAAGCUCCUCCUCGCCAACCCAAGUGCAGCAAAGAACCUUGUGAAUGAAGAGGAUUCAGAGCUUGCAAAUAUAUUUUCAUGCAUGAUAAGUUCCAGUCCAAGGAGGAAACGUGGUUGGAAAAAACAGAUUUUAGUUUGAAGCAGAGAGGGAUCUGGUGGAGAAUUCAACGCAAACAUUUCUGAAGUGAACCAUGCAGCCGCGAAUGAAGUGAAGUGUGGGACAGAGGUUUAGGAUUAGUUCAACUGCAACCAAGGAUGAAAAUGUCGGCCGAUAUCCCUAUAUAUCCCUUUUUUCAGGUGUCGAUACCGAUACAAGGGGUAAAUAUACAGAGGGUAGCAUGAGCAGAAUUAAAGGAAGCUAACAGCUAGAGGGAUGAGCAAGAAACAAGGAAGUCCAACGCCAAGAGAGGAAACGUCGAGUUAAAGGUUCCUGUUGACAAACCAAUGCCUACCAGAUAGCAAAGAAAGCAAACUUAAGCCAUCAUAGCAUGACCAACGUGGCAAGCAACUGAACCCUAAACAUUAGAAACAAACUGACGAAAAGGAAAAUGCCUAAUAUCCCAGUUUUCUUUCCCAACUUAGAUGGUAGUACAAUGUAAGAAUGCCACUUAGGAACAAAUCAUUCUUACACAAUGCUAGAGUACAAGCCCUAAUGGGAGAACAGAAGUGCUAACAUUUUGGAACAACGAGAGACAGUUGUUCCCAAUUUAUUGCUUCAACAUGAGGUAACAAGAACGGAAGCAAAAGACUUGCAUGGGAAGUAUAACACGCCCUAAAAAGGUUGGAUAGAAGAUAUAGCUGAUGCAUCUGAUUCAGUUUAAGUUAAACAAUAAAUGUAAAAAGGAUAACAAAAAACAUAGUCCAAUAAUUA
Molecule: non-coding RNA, 3007 nt
Organism: Prunus mume (Japanese apricot)
Lineage: Eukaryota; Viridiplantae; Streptophyta; Magnoliopsida; Rosales; Rosaceae
Source: RefSeq, a predicted model, not a curated record